This 504-nucleotide ribosomal RNA is filed under the name Pseudoalteromonas sp. 5Bf2S25. Its description in RNAcentral is "bacterial SSU rRNA". It matches the Rfam family "Bacterial small subunit ribosomal RNA", at positions 380 to 877 of the family's 1533-position model. Lineage: Bacteria; Pseudomonadati; Pseudomonadota; Gammaproteobacteria; Alteromonadales; Pseudoalteromonadaceae. The record is from RNAcentral. RNAcentral also lists the same sequence under 2 other names.
AGCCUGAUGCAGCCAUGCCGCGUGUGUGAAGAAGGCCUUAGGGUUGUAAAGCACUUUCAGUCAGGAGGAAAGGUUAGUAGUUAAUACCUGCUAGCUGUGACGUUACUGACAGAAGAAGCACCGGCUAACUCCGUGCCAGCAGCCGCGGUAAUACGGAGGGUGCGAGCGUUAAUCGGAAUUACUGGGCGUAAAGCGUACGCAGGCGGUUUGUUAAGCGAGAUGUGAAAGCCCCGGGCUUAACCUGGGAACUGCAUUUCGAACUGGCAAACUAGAGUGUGAUAGAGGGUGGUAGAAUUUCAGGUGUAGCGGUGAAAUGCGUAGAGAUCUGAAGGAAUACCGAUGGCGAAGGCAGCCACCUGGGUCAACACUGACGCUCAUGUACGAAAGCGUGGGGAGCAAACAGGAUUAGAUACCCUGGUAGUCCACGCCGUAAACGAUGUCUACUAGGAGCUGGGGUCUUCGGACAACUUUUCCAAAGCUAACGCAUUAAGUAGACCGCCUGGG